This 74-nucleotide transfer RNA is filed under the name Achromatium sp. WMS3. It matches the Rfam family "tRNA". Rfam says of the family: Transfer RNA (tRNA) molecules are approximately 80 nucleotides in length. Their secondary structure includes four short double-helical elements and three loops (D, anti-codon, and T loops). Further hydrogen bonds mediate the characteristic L-shaped molecular structure. tRNAs have two regions of fundamental functional importance: the anti-codon, which is responsible for specific mRNA codon recognition, and the 3' end, to which the tRNAs corresponding amino acid is attached (by aminoacyl-tRNA synthetases). tRNAs cope with the degeneracy of the genetic code in two manners: having more than one tRNA (with a specific anti-codon) for a particular amino acid; and 'wobble' base-pairing, i.e. permitting non-standard base-pairing at the 3rd anti-codon position. Lineage: Bacteria; Pseudomonadati; Pseudomonadota; Gammaproteobacteria; Thiotrichales; Thiotrichaceae. The record is from Rfam by way of RNAcentral.
GUGCUCGUAGCUCAACUGGAUAGAGCAACGGCCUUCUAAGCCGUAGGUCGCAGGUUCGAAUCCUGCCGGGCAUG